This is an RNA transcript of Lagenorhynchus albirostris (white-beaked dolphin), 3973 nucleotides long. It is a transcript of the gene named RNA binding region (RNP1, RRM) containing 3, with no coding region annotated. The transcript is spliced from 16 exons. NCBI's taxonomy places the organism in Eukaryota, Metazoa, Chordata, Mammalia, Artiodactyla, Delphinidae. The record is from RefSeq and is a predicted model, not a curated record.
GUCUCGCGAGAAGGCGACAUCUCUCGCGUUACUUCCUUGUUUCCAGAAUCCUUAGCGCGAAGUGGGAAAACACUUGCUUAGCUCAGCUUUUUAUGAUCACUGCGGUUUCUUCAGUGGCUUCCCUGUUGGUUCUCCGUGACAAAUGGCGGCUUCGGAACAGCCGCUGCCGUUGUCGAGAGGAUGUCAGAGCUCUGCUUCGCUUUCACCGCCGCGGGGCGACCGAACCCUUCUAGUGAGGCACCUGCCAGCCGAGCUGACUGCUGAGGAGAAAGAGGACUUACUGAAGUAUUUCGGGGCGCAGUCCGUGCGCAUCCUGUCCGAUAAGGGGCGACUGAAACAUACAGCUUUUGCUACUUUCCCUAAUGAAAAAGCAGCUAUAAAGGCAUUGACAAGACUUCAUCAACUGAAGAUUUUAGGUCAUACUUUAGUUGUUGAAUUUGCAAAAGAGCAAGAUCAGGUUCAUUCACCAUGUCCUUCUUCAAGCACUGAAAAAAAGAAAAGGUCUGAUGAUACUGUGGAAGAUGAUAAAGAAAAGAAAGAACUUGAUUGUUUAACUAUAGAAAAUGGAAUUGCACCAAACCAUGGGCUGACUUUUCCUCUAAAUUCAUGCCUCAAGUAUAUGUACCCACCACCUUCAAGCACAAUUCUAGCAAACAUAGUAAAUGCUUUGGCAAGUGUGCCUAAGUUCUACGUACAGGUGCUUCAUCUUAUGAAUAAAAUGAAUUUGCCCACACCUUUUGGACCAAUUACUGCAAGGCCUCCCAUGUAUGAGGACUAUAUGCCACUACAUGCUCCUCUUCCACCUGCAUCUCCUCAGCCACCGGAGGAACCUCCUUUGCCAGAUGAGGAUGAGGAAUUAUCUAGUAAAGAAUCAGAAUAUGAAAGCAGUGAUGAUGAAGACCGUCAAAGAAUGACCAAACUAAUGGAACUAGCAAAUCUUCAGCCCAAAAGACCAAAAACAAUAAAGCAGCACCACGUGAGAAAAAAGAGAAAAAUAAAGGAUAUGUUGAAUAUACCAUCAUCUGCUUCACACGGCAGUUUACAUCCAGUGUUGUUACCUUCGGAUGUAUUUGACCAACCACAACCUGUAGGUAAUAAAAAAAUUGAAUUCCAUAUAUCUACCGACAUGUCAGCUGCAUUUAAGAAAGAUUUAGAAAAAGAACAAAAUUGUGAAGAACAAAAUUUUGACUUACCUGCUUCUGAAGUUGAUGCAUCCAAUAUAGGAUUUGGAAAAAUCUUCCCAAAACCAAAUUUGAGCAUCGCAGAGGAGAUUAAAGAAGACUCUGAUGAAAUGCCAUCAGAAUGUAUUUCUAGAAGGGAGUUGGAAAAGGGCAGAAUUUCUAGAGAAGAAAUGGAAACACUUUCAGUUUUUAGAAGUUAUGAACCUGGUGAACCAAACUGUAGAAUUUAUGUAAAGAAUUUAGCUAAACAAGUUCAAGAAAAGGACCUUAAAUUUAUUUUUGGAAGAUACGUUGACUUUUCGUCAGAAACACAACGCAUAAUGUUUGAUAUACGCUUGAUGAAAGAAGGUCGCAUGAAAGGACAAGCUUUCAUUGGACUUCCAAAUGAAAAAGCAGCAGCAAAAGCAUUAAAGGAAGCUAAUGGAUACAUUCUUUUUGGAAAACCUAUGGUGGUUCAGUUUGCUCGAUCUGCUAGACCAAAACAAGAUUCUAAAGAAGGAAAAAGAAAGUGUUAAAAAUUAGUAAAGAAGCAUUCCUGCGUAAAUACUGCUGUAAUACUGUCAUACAAAGUGUAUCCUUUCUUGUCGUAUCCUUUUUGGGGCAGUGUUUUUUUGAUUUUCCUGCAAAUGUUUUGUCUCUCCCCAACCCAUUGAUCCAGUUUAAGCAGUAAUUUUUUUACAAUGUAUUGAAAUGAAGUAUUUUAAAAAUUACGUGUGUUGAUUGAACAAAUCUUUUAUGUGGUUUUUAGAUUUGUUGCUUAAUUUUCUGUGCUAUCCUUUAGGUUAUGUAGUUUUUCCAGGGAAAGUUAGUGAAUCAGGUCAGCUUUUUACUUGGACAAUGUAUACAUUUGCUUUAACACAAAUUUUAUUCUUGUUUCUUCUAUUUUGUAUUUUCUAAACCUAAUUCAGUAACAUAUAUGUUUUCUUUUUCAUGAUGUAUCUGCUUUAGGUGUUCUAUAUAUAUAAUGUGUUGUAAAAUUUGAUUGGGUUUUUUUUUUCCUAUUAAAAAGUACAUUUGUUAAAAAUUUAAAUAACUAGAUUUCAAUGUAAAUUCCAAAUAAGAGUAGCAGACCUUACAUCUGAGGUUUUAUUAUUGAGAUAGCAAGUAGAAGUAUCUUUUUUCCUCUUUCUUUUUCUAAGCAAAGUAAAACAAAAGGAAUAAGAAAAGAGUAACAGAGAGGAGAAUACAUAAUGUUGACUCAGGGUAGCUCAAUAAGUGGAAAGAAAAAUUCUGGUAGGUAUGUAAGAGGAGACUAGUUGAUAACCAGAACCACCCAAACAGUGGUUCUCAGUUUUAGCUGCAUACUGGAAUGACUUGUGGAACUUUUUCAAAAAAUACUGACUAAAGAAAACUAUAAUAAUAAACUAAAAAAUAUACAGAUGCCUGGGUUUCUCCCCCAGAGUUUUGAUUCAGUGGUCUGGAUUGCAGCAUACAUAUUAGGAUUUUCAGAUUUCCCAAAGUAUUGGUUCUAAUGUGCAACUAAGGUUGAGAACUACUGAGGAUGGAUUUUUACAUAUAAAGAUUCCUGGACUCUGCCCUAGAGCUAAUAAAUCAGAAUCUCUGGAAUUGGGACCAAGAAUCUAAUUUAAAAAGGUCCCUUAGUAGUUCUAAGGACUGACCAGUUUGGAUUCUACUUGUUAGAUUAAAAUGUCAAGGUGGAUCCGAGACACCAACCUAACCAUCUAAACUUUUAUAAGUAGGAAAAUAAAGCACUGAAGGCUUUACAUUUCUUUCUUGCAAAUCCUGCUAUAAAUAGUACUAUGAAACCAAUGAAAAAUUCUGUUAAUCAUUGUCACUCUGAGUACAAAAAGUUAAGAGAUACUGAAAUUGCUGUUACUUUUUUCUAUUGGCACAGUUAAAAUGUUUUAUUUUUUAAUGUUAUAAAUCAAUUUCUGUGUAAGCUGUUUAUUUAGACAAUUAAAAUUUUGUACUGACAUGAUUCACUAAUUUUCUAAAUAUAAAUGUUUUAGCUUUUAGUUAUUUUAAAACUAGUGAACUGUUUUAUAAUCAUGAUUACUUUUAAUGAAUUUCUAUGGUAUUUUAGGUUCCAUUUGAAUUUUUCAUAUAUCUCAAGUGCUUUCCAACUUUGUGGAGACGAAAUUGACCACCUGGACUAUGGAACUAAGUUGAAGAGGAAGGAAAACUUCCUGACUGAUUUCUUGGGGCCAAUAUUACCCUGAUAUCAAAGCCAGACAAAGACACUGCAAGAAAAGAAGACUACAAGCCAAUAUCCCUUAUGUUCAACACUGAUACAAAACUCCUCAACAAAACACUAGCAAACCAAAUUCAGGAGCAUAUUAAAAGGAUUAUACAUCAUGACUAUGAGAGAUCUAUAUUGGAAUGCAACGAUGGUUCGACAUAUGAAAAUCUAUCAAAUCUAAAUGAAGGACAAAGACUACACAAUCAUCUUAAUUGACACAGAAAAGCAUUUGACAUAAUUCAACAUCUUUUCAUGAUAAAAACAUUCAACAAACUGGGAACAGAAGGAAACUAGCUCAAUAUAAUAAUAUCCUUAUAUGAAAAACUCAUAGUGAACAUCAUACUCCAUACUGAAAGGCUGAAAGCAUUUCCUCUAAGAUCAGAAACAACUCAAGGAUGUCCACUUUUGCCACUUCUGUUCAACACAGUGCUGGAAGUUCUAACCAGAGCAAUCAGGCAAGAAAAAAAUAAAAAGCAUUCAAAUUGAAAAAGAAGAAGUAAAAGUAUCUCUGUUCACAGAUAAUAUGAUUUUUUUUCAGCUUUAUUGAGAUAUAAUUGACAAAAUUCUAAGAUAAUGUAUACAACAUGGUGAU